Molecule: ribosomal RNA, 540 nt
Filed under: uncultured archaeon
Lineage: Archaea
Description: bacterial SSU rRNA
Rfam family: Archaeal small subunit ribosomal RNA
Source: RNAcentral
GGCAGCAGCCGCGGUAACACCGGCAGCUCUAGUGGUAGCAAUUUUAUUGGGCCUAAAGCGUCCGUAGCCGGUUUAAUAAGUCUCUGGUGAAAUCCUGCAGCUUAACUGUGGGAAUUGCUGGAGAUACUAUUAGACUUGAGACCGGGAGAGGUUAGAGGUACUCCCAGGGUAGAGGUGAAAUUCUGUAAUCCUGGGAGGACCGCCUGUUGCGAAGGCGUCUAACUGGAACGGUUCUGACGGUGAGGGACGAAAGUUAGGGGCGCGAACCGGAUUAGAUACCCGGGUAGUCCUAACUGUAAACGAUGCGGACUUGGUGUUGGGGUGGCUUUGAGCUGCUUCAGUGCCGAAGGGAAGCUGUUAAGUCCGCCGCCUGGGAAGUACGGUCGCAAGACUGAAACUUAAGGAAUUGGCGGGGGAGCACCACAACGCGUGGAGCCUGCCGGUUUAAUUGGAUUCAACGCCGGACAUCUCACCAGAGGCGACAGCUGUAUGAUAGCCAGGUUGAUGACUUUGCUUGACUAGCUGAGUGGUGGUGCAUGG